RNAcentral lists this ribosomal RNA (254 nucleotides) under uncultured bacterium. RNAcentral's name for it is "partial 16S ribosomal RNA". It matches the Rfam family "Bacterial small subunit ribosomal RNA", at positions 524 to 776 of the family's 1533-position model. The record is from RNAcentral.
UACGGAGGGUGCGAGCGUUGUCCGGAAUCACUGGGCGUAAAGGGCGCGUAGGCGGCCUGAUAAGUAGGGGGUGAAAUCCUGCGGCUUAACCGCAGGGCUGCCUUCUAAACUGUCAGGCUUGAGCACAGUAGAGGCAGGUGGAAUUCCCGGUGUAGCGGUGGAAUGCGUAGAGAUCGGGAAGAACAUCAGUGGCGAAGGCGGCCUGCUGGGCUGUUGCUGACGCUGAGGCGCGACAGGCGUGGGGAGCAAACAGG